RNAcentral lists this long non-coding RNA (744 nucleotides) under Oryza sativa Indica Group (long-grained rice). Its description in RNAcentral is "lncRNA OsZS97_07G025130". Lineage: Eukaryota; Viridiplantae; Streptophyta; Magnoliopsida; Poales; Poaceae. The record is from RNAcentral.
ACGAGCUCCCAUUCCCCACCCAGAGGCCGCCGCCGCCACCGCCGCCGCCGCCGCAGAGCGGAGCUGACGAUGGCGAAGCGCAAGGCACCGUCCGGCCCCUCCUCCUCGCCGUCUCCCGCCGCCGCUGGCGCCGACGCGUCCCCGCCCGUCGACCCCGUUUCGUAUUCUAGCUCGCAGGGUGGAUCCGCCGGCGGGAGGAAUCGCAAGGGCGCAGCGGCGGCGGCCAAGCGGAAGCCUAGGAAGCCGCAGGUUCACGAGAAAAAUUACGCGCAUGUGUACUAUGGAUGUAGAAAUGUUUUAUAUGAUGGGAAUGAUUUCUACUAUGGACAUAGAUAUACAGAAGAAUUUCGUAAGGUGGAGGCACAUGAUUUGUAUGGAUGUCCACACUUGAUUGCCGAGCUACCACCACAACCACGGUUAAUGUCAUUGCUGGAUUUACAGCUCUGGAUUAUCAAGUUGUUUAGACUCCAUCCAGAAACACAAGACCUCUCAAUUAAGGGCUUCUUCGAAGAAGAAGACAGUUGGCAAUACUUAGGUUCAGCGGGCUGGAAGACCUAUGAUUUUCUAUCUGAUAAAAGUUGGCAGUCCUUUGUCAAGAAAGUAAAGGGUAGAAAGGGGAUGGAAUUUUUCAAGUUGUAUGUGGACUCCUCUGAAAUCAAGCACUACGACAGUUUGCUAAAAGCAACAAAUGAUGAUUAUUGUCAGUCGGCAACUGUCUUGUUGCCCGAGCAAGAUGAUCUGACA